GACGAACGCUGGCGGCGUGCUUAACACAUGCAAGUCGAGCGGUAAGGCCCUUUCGGGGGUACACGAGCGGCGAACGGGUGAGUAACACGUGGGUGACCUGCCCUCAGCUCUGGGAUAAGCCUGGGAAACUGGGUCUAAUACCGGAUAUGACUUCGCAUCGCAUGGUGUGGGGUGGAAAGUUUUUCGGCUGGGGAUGGGCCCGCGGCCUAUCAGCUUGUUGGUGGGGUGAUGGCCUACCAAGGCGACGACGGGUAGCCGGCCUGAGAGGGCGACCGGCCACACUGGGACUGAGACACGGCCCAGACUCCUACGGGAGGCAGCAGUGGGGAAUAUUGCGCAAUGGGCGGAAGCCUGACGCAGCGACGCCGCGUGGGGAUGACGGCCUCGGUU
This 390-nucleotide ribosomal RNA is filed under the name uncultured bacterium. Its description in RNAcentral is "bacterial SSU rRNA". It matches the Rfam family "Bacterial small subunit ribosomal RNA", at positions 28 to 424 of the family's 1533-position model. The record is from RNAcentral.